Molecule: ribosomal RNA, 538 nt
Filed under: uncultured archaeon
Lineage: Archaea
Description: bacterial SSU rRNA
Rfam family: Archaeal small subunit ribosomal RNA
Source: RNAcentral
GGCAGCCGCCGCGGGAACACCGGCAGCUCUAGUGGUAACAAUCUUAUUGGGCCUAAAGCGUCCGUAGCCGGUUAAUAAGUCUCUGGUGAAAUCCUGUAGCUUAACUGUGGGAAUUGCUGGAGAUACUAUUAGACUUGAGACCGGGAGAGGUUAGAGGUACUCCCAGGGUAGAGGUGAAAUUCUGUAAUCCUGGGAGGACCGCCUGUUGCGAAGGCGUCUAACUGGAACGGUUCUGACGGUGAGGGACGAAAGUUAGGGGCGCGAACCGGAUUAGAUACCCGGGUAGUCCUAACUGUAAACGAUGCGGACUUGGUGUUGGGGUGGCUUUGAGCUGCUCCAGUGCCGAAGGGAAGCUGUUAAGUCCGCCGCCUGGGAAGUACGGUCGCAAGACUGAAACUUAAGGAAUUGGCGGGGGAGCACCACAACGCGUGGAGCCUGCGGUUUAAUUGGAUUCAACGCCGGACAUCUCACCAGGGGCGACAGCUGUAUGAUAGCCAGGUUGAUGACUUUGCUUGACUAGCUGAGAGGUGGUGCAUGG